UGUGUGUGUAUGUGUGUGUAUGAUUUAAAGGAUGUUGGAGAAACAAUUCCAGCUCCCCCCACUAAAGAAUAAUAUACAUGUUCAUAUGUAUAAAAAAGAGGAAAUUACAUGGUUAAGAGAAAGUACAUUUUGGAUUAAAUGUAAAUAGCUCGGCCCUGUGAUCAUAUGUUACGUUAUGCACAUGUUAUAGAGUAUAUGUUACCCUGCUGUACUUUGUAGUCUUUAAUGUUUGCAUAUCUAAUAUUUUCAGAUUUUUAUCAGAGGCAUACGUACUGUACGUCCCAAUGCAUUUCUUUGUGCUCUUUGGGUUUGUGAGGGAAUUCACUCUUGCAUUUCCUUUUGAUAUUCUUGAAUGUAAUCUGUCCAGAAUUGAAGGUACUGUAUGUGAAUAAAAGACAAGAAAUUCUGAAA
Etheostoma cragini (Arkansas darter) is the source of this 411-nucleotide long non-coding RNA. RefSeq lists it as uncharacterized. NCBI's taxonomy places the organism in Eukaryota, Metazoa, Chordata, Actinopteri, Perciformes, Percidae. The record is from RefSeq and is a predicted model, not a curated record. The transcript has 2 exons.